RNAcentral lists this long non-coding RNA (1504 nucleotides) under Vulpes vulpes (red fox). RNAcentral describes it as "lncRNA (ENSVVUG00000026546.1)". Lineage: Eukaryota; Metazoa; Chordata; Mammalia; Carnivora; Canidae. The record is from RNAcentral.
GCCUGAGACCCUGGAGAACCCAGAAGGAAGGUCAGGGAAGUGCUUUCCGUCCCCCCAUUGUAAUUUCUGGUGUUGGCCAUCUUCUAGACAACCAUCAGAGUAGAUUCUGCCCUUAGACUUGACUUUGUUUUGUUUUUUACUCUCAUAUAUCUUGUUGAUUCUGCUCUUUCAAAAGGUUCAACUAUUUUAAGAAAUAAACACCAGAGAGGAGCAGAAAGCAGAGCCUGAUGCCUUGGAAGUGUUGCUUAACUUUGUGAUGGGAAAUGGAAUGGAGUCUCUAGUGUCUCAUGUUUCCUGUUAUGAUGGCAAGAUUUGGGACAGAGAAGAAAAUAAAACCAGAUGUCAAAGGUGUCUGUAUAUGCUUUACUACCCUCAUUUGAAUUUAGAAAAGUAAAGAAAACUUUAAAAGCCUCUGAUUCAAUGCCUCAUGUAAACAGCUUUCUCUGUUCAUACAGUAAAGCAAUCCUUUUUUUCCCCUUAUCUCAACUGUUGUCCCUCCAAUGAAAAUCAUUUCUGAUAUUUUUAAGUCUAAAACACAAAAAUCACCAUAAAAAUAAUGAGAAUUGAAACUCUCUAUAGCGAAGAGGAGAUGACAGCUGCCUUCAGCCUGAAGAGCUGGAGCAAGCAAAGACAGCAGGAGUCAAAAUGCCAAGUGCAUUAGACCAGCUUGGUCUUUCAGCUUUCAACCUAUUCAUCUAAAGUCACAAUUGUGUCACCCGCUGGUCUUUACACACAUUCACAGUCUGAGUGAAGAAUUGUCACAUAUGGAUAAAGAGGAGAGAAGCAGUUUUAUCGUUUGUGUCAGGAACUUGUACAUUACUCUCAAUUAAGAGAGACCAUGAGUUAUUUUCAAAUGCUACUUCAGUAUAUUCAUAAGGGCUUUCGGCAGAUCCACCUCCACUGGCUGAUAGCCCUAUCCGCGUCUACCAUGUCACCUGGUUCUGGAGCUAGAGGACAUUUUCAAGCACUAACAGGGUGGUGGUAACUAAUCAAGAAGACUUAGACUAGAAGCCUUCUGGUCUAAACAACUAAAGAAAAAUUGAGGAUGGUGCUGAACUAGUCUUGUUGUGGAGAACAAUUGUAAUGCCUUCUAUCACUUAUUGCCAAAAUAUUCCCAUUAUGUAAAUAUAUGUUAUGACUUAUUUCAACCAUAUAGUUGCUGAAUUAUUUCAGUUGUCUUUUUCUUCUUCUCAAGUAGGUUUUAUCAUUGGUAAGGAGCAACAAUUGUGGCUUGUGUAGUAUUUAUUUUCUAUACACAAUGCUUCUCUCAGAUCUGCUCUAUCUGCCAGGAGGAUAGUUACCUCUAUAUCAAUUCCAUAAUUUGCACUUCCUCUGCUUACUUCCUAAGUCUGAGGACAGAUUGACCCCAUCAAGAAUAGAUAAUUAUUCCCCAGCCAUUGUUUAGUGAACAGAUUAUCAGAAUUUUCCUCCUGGUAUUUUAGUGCACUAUUGUUAUAUUUUUAACUUGGGAAGUUAAAACUAAAAUGCAAUUUUCCAGAACAAU